AACGAACGCUGGCGGCAUGCCUAACACAUGCAAGUCGAACGAAGGCUUCGGCCUUAGUGGCGCACGGGUGCGUAACGCGUGGGAAUCUGCCCUCUGGUACGGAAUAACUCAGGGAAACUUGAGCUAAUACCGUAUAAUGACUUCGGUCCAAAGAUUUAUCGCCUGAGGAUGAGCCCGCGUCGGAUUAGCUAGUUGGUGAGGUAAAAGCUCACCAAGGCGACGAUCCGUAGCUGGUCUGAGAGGAUGAUCAGCCACACUGGGACUGAGACACGGCCCAGACUCCUACGGGAGGCAGCAGUGGGGAAUAUUGGACAAUGGGCGAAAGCCUGAUCCAGCAAUGCCGCGUGAGUGAUGAAGGCCUUAGGGAAGUAAAGCUCUUUUACCCGGGAUGAUAAUGACAGACCG
This 405-nucleotide ribosomal RNA is filed under the name bacterium Ellin7518. RNAcentral describes it as "bacterial SSU rRNA". It matches the Rfam family "Bacterial small subunit ribosomal RNA", at positions 29 to 461 of the family's 1533-position model. The record is from RNAcentral.